Molecule: ribosomal RNA, 235 nt
Filed under: uncultured bacterium
Lineage: Bacteria
Description: partial 16S ribosomal RNA
Rfam family: Bacterial small subunit ribosomal RNA
Source: RNAcentral
GAUCAUGGCUCAGGACGAACGCUGGCGGCGCGCCUAACACAUGCAAGUCGAACGAGCGAGAGAGAGCUUGCUUUCUCGAGCGAGUGGCGAACGGGUGAGUAACGCGUGAGGAACCUGCCUCAAAGAGGGGGGACAACAGUUGGAAACGACUGCUAAUACCGCAUAAGCCCACGGGUCGGCAUCGACCAGAGGGAAAAGGAGCAAUCCGCUUUGAGAUGGCCUCGCGUCCGAUUAG